GGGGGCCCCAGGAGGCAGGCUGGCUGGCGCAUUGGGAGCAUGCUGGUUGGUGCUUAGGAUGCCUGUUGGGCUGGCCCUUGGGGGUCAUGCUGGAUAAAUACCCAGAAAUGGAAUUACUGGGUCAUACGGUAUUUCCGUUGUGAAUGUUCGAGGAAGGUCCACACCAUUGUCCAGAGCACAUGAAGCAGUUUGCAGCCCCAGUGGCAGAGGCACGAAUGUCCCCUUUCUCCACAGCCUGGCUGACACCUGCUGUAUCCACAUCUCCUUGGUUGUCUUUCUCUCCAUAAGGUAAUUUCAGGACAGCGACUGUCCUAACGUAAGCUUUCUAUUAGCCUUUUAAGCAUGGAGUUGUCUACACAUUGUAACAUUGCCCCCAGCUUCCCUUUCUGACAGAGGCACCAGGGACACGGACAAAGAUCCCGCGUGCCCUCUGUGAAGGAGGGAAAAGGGACGAACGUCCUCUUGAAAGAGUCUGAGCAAACAGCCGGCCUGGACUGGCGCUUCCCGCCACGGCCGGAGGGGACCCCUGGCCGCCCGACCCCCAUCUGCUGACCAGCCUCAGUCCCAGCAGGGUGGAUGUCUCCAUUCGUCCUUCCUGCUGUGGCUGCACUUUCAUUUCCAAGUUCAACGUCCGUGGUAAACGGGAGACUCCAGAACAGAUUUCUUCCCGUCCUCCGUCCCCGCCCGUGUCAACGCACCAGACAGAUGUUUUCCACUCGUCCUGCCUUGUCCCUGGCCAGGCAAAGUUCUGAAUCGAGAAAGGGAAAAUAUAAUUGCUGCGAGGAGUCAAACAUCUUUACCCUUGAACGAGAAAAGUCGUUCAUGUCUUCGAUGAGAACACGGAGCGUUGGAGAGAGCACACAGGUGACUCUAGGCAUGGCUGGCAGUGCCACAGCGGGAUCCUGUACCAGGCAGCCUGAGUGCAGAAGUGCUUUGCCCCCUGAGGUUCACAAAGCAGACACCCACCUUGGGGGACAUGCUUGCCAUCGUUGGACUCCGUGGGAGCCAGUCCCUGGGCAAGAUGACCAAAUCGAGUUCUAUGGUCUGUUAAGGUGAGGCCUAAGCCCAUGGACCUGAAGGCUGAAGGAUCCAGCCGGGCACCUCUUUGGUUGCUCUUAACCGCAACUCUUUCUGGAGAAAGAAUGUGCUAGAAGGGAAGAAAAAUAGAAGGAUGCCAGCCAUUGGGGGAGGCUAUUGUUGGCCACUCAACAUCUAUUUCACUCCUAUUGAUGCAAAAGGAACAAACCUCUUUAAACACUUUUAAAAAGAAAGAAAAAGUUUUAUUCGAGCCCAAAUUAGAAUGGCUGCCCAGGAUACAUGAUCUUUACAAAGAGUGCUCCGGGAAUGGAACAUUUGGUGCAGGGUGAUGUGUCUUUUACAUAAAAAGAGUUACAAAUCAUCAUGACCAAGGACAUUCCAGAAAGUUACAGACCUUAUCUUAUGUUUUUAGUAUGUGCAAAACCGUAUGACUUUAAGCUUUUGGGAGCCAGGAAGGGUUUUGUGUGUGUGUGUGUGUGUGUGUGUUUGUUUUUCUUAUCUUUAUUUUUGGAAUCCUCCUUUUUGAUUAUUUAUUAUUUUUUUUUAAAUAAAGCAGACAUUCAAC
Molecule: long non-coding RNA, 1603 nt
Organism: Mustela putorius furo (domestic ferret)
Lineage: Eukaryota; Metazoa; Chordata; Mammalia; Carnivora; Mustelidae
Source: Ensembl